RNAcentral lists this ribosomal RNA (545 nucleotides) under Lasiodiplodia sp. 1088AMSTITYEL. RNAcentral describes it as "eukaryotic LSU rRNA". The stretch from base 170 to 323 matches the Rfam family "5.8S ribosomal RNA". The record is from RNAcentral. Lineage: Eukaryota; Fungi; Ascomycota; Dothideomycetes; Botryosphaeriales; Botryosphaeriaceae.
CUUCCGUAGGUGAACCUGCGGAAGGAUCAUUACCGAGUUUUCGGGCUUCGGCUCGACUCUCCCACCCUUUGUGAACGUACCUCUGUUGCUUUGGCGGCUCCGGCCGCCAAAGGACCUCCAAACUCCAGUCAGUAAACGCAGACGUCUGAUAAACAAGUUAAUAAACUAAAACUUUCAACAACGGAUCUCUUGGUUCUGGCAUCGAUGAAGAACGCAGCGAAAUGCGAUAAGUAAUGUGAAUUGCAGAAUUCAGUGAAUCAUCGAAUCUUUGAACGCACAUUGCGCCCCUUGGUAUUCCGGGGGGCAUGCCUGUUCGAGCGUCAUUACAACCCUCAAGCUCUGCUUGGAAUUGGGCACCGUCCUCACUGCGGACGCGCCUCAAAGACCUCGGCGGUGGCUGUUCAGCCCUCAAGCGUAGUAGAAUACACCUCGCUUUGGAGUGGUUGGCGUCGCCCGCCGGACGAACCUUCUGAACUUUUCUCAAGGUUGACCUCGGAUCAGGUAGGGAGACCCGCUGAACUCCAGCAUAUCAAUAAGCGGAGGAA